AAAUUUACACCUAUACUCGGCGCGGCGAAACUUGAUCCCUAUGACACUGACAGCUAAUGUCACCAUAUAACAUUGUAGUGGCGUCACCAUUAAAUUGGGAUCGAAUUGGGGGCGUCUAAAAAUGCCAUUUAUAAAUUUUACGUAGCUUUAUACCAUUAGAAAUGAUAUUCCGUUGAUAUUUUUAACAAUUCUUAACAUUUACAAGAAGUUAUCUCAAUCUGAAUUUAUGUUUACGUCCUGCAA
This is a long non-coding RNA of Maniola jurtina (meadow brown), 243 nucleotides long. RefSeq lists it as uncharacterized. Lineage: Eukaryota; Metazoa; Arthropoda; Insecta; Lepidoptera; Nymphalidae. The record is from RefSeq and is a predicted model, not a curated record. The transcript has 3 exons.